UGCAGUCGAACGGUGAACACGGAGCUUGCUCUGUGGGAUCAGUGGCGAACGGGUGAGUAACACGUGAGCAACCUGCCCCUGACUCUGGGAUAAGCGCUGGAAACGGCGUCUAAUACUGGAUACGAACCAUGAAGGCAUCUUCAGUGGUUGGAAAGAUUUAUUGGUUGGGGAUGGGCUCGCGGCCUAUCAGCUUGUUGGUGAGGUAAUGGCUCACCAAGGCGUCGACGGGUAGCCGGCCUGAGAGGGUGACCGGCCACACUGGGACUGAGACACGGCCCAGACUCCUACGGGAGGCAGCAGUGGGGAAUAUUGCACAAUGGGCGCAAGCCUGAUGCAGCAACGCCGCGUGAGGGAUGACGGCCUUCGGGUUGUAAACCUCUUUUAGCAGGGAAGAAGCGAAAGUGACGGUACCUGCAGAAAAAGCGCCGGCUAACUACGUGCCAGCAGCCGCGGUAAUACGUAGGGCGCAAGCGUUAUCCGGAAUUAUUGGGCGUAAAGAGCUCGUAGGCGGUUUGUCGCGUCUGCUGUGAAAUCCGGAGGCUCAACCUCCGGCCUGCAGUGGGUACGGGCAGACUAGAGUGCGGUAGGGGAGAUUGGAAUUCCUGGUGUAGCGGUGGAAUGCGCAGAUAUCAGGAGGAACACCGAUGGCGAAGGCAGAUCUCUGGGCCGUAACUGACGCUGAGGAGCGAAAGGGUGGGGAGCAAACAGGCUUAGAUACCCUGGUAGUCCACCCCGUAAACGUUGGGAACUAGUUGUGGGGUCCAUUCCACGGAUUCCGUGACGCAGCUAACGCAUUAAGUUCCCCGCCUGGGGAGUACGGCCGCAAGGU
This 829-nucleotide ribosomal RNA is filed under the name Microbacterium sp. TCA2-18_Pa. RNAcentral's name for it is "bacterial SSU rRNA". It matches the Rfam family "Bacterial small subunit ribosomal RNA", at positions 56 to 894 of the family's 1533-position model. The record is from RNAcentral. Lineage: Bacteria; Bacillati; Actinomycetota; Actinomycetes; Micrococcales; Microbacteriaceae.